UAGGGAAUCUUCGGCAAUGGGGGGAACCCUGACCGAGCAACGCUGCGUGAGUGAAGAAGGUUUUCGGAUCGUAAAGCUCUGUUGUUAAGGAAGAACGAGUGUGAGAAUGGAAAGUUCAUACUGUGUCGGUACUUAACCAUAAAGGGACGGCUAACUACGUGCCAGCAGCCGCGGUAAUACGUAGGUACCGAGCGUUGUCCGGAUUUAUUGGGCGUAAAGCGAGCGCAGGCGGUUAGAUAAGUCUGAAGUUAAAGGCAGUGGCUCAAGCAAUGUAGGCUUUGGAAAAUGUUUAACUUGCGUUCAGAAGGGGAGAGUGGAAUUCCAUGUGUAGCGGUGAAAUGCGUAGAUAUAUGGAGGAACACAAGUGGCGAAAGCGGCUCUAUGGACUGUAACUGAAGCUGAGGCUCGAAAGCGUGGGGAGCUAACAGG
Molecule: ribosomal RNA, 429 nt
Filed under: Bacteroidota bacterium
Lineage: Bacteria; Pseudomonadati; Bacteroidota
Description: Bacteroidetes bacterium partial 16S ribosomal RNA
Rfam family: Bacterial small subunit ribosomal RNA
Source: RNAcentral